GGUUCGGGAUUGUUUUGACCGAGACUCGGCGGCCGUCCAGGACCAGCAAGAGCAGCAGAGCCCUAGCCGCCGCCCCGGCUACCCCUAGGCCCCUUCCUUUCCUCUUUCCUACCACUCAAUGAGCACCCCAUGGCGACCCUCCCACCGCCCCUCCUCCCGAUGAGCACCGCUCCUCCGAGCCGCGGCCGUCUAUGACCAGGAGGAGCAAAGACGGAUCAUCAUCGUCAUUCCUCUACUUACCCGUGGCUCAUCAUCCUAGAUCCGCCCCUGCUGGUCACGGGCGAGCCCCCACGCCGGGGCUACAUGAGCUGAGAAAGAAGCUGCAAUUCAAGCCACCAAGUGCUGAUGAUUUCACGGCCGUCAAACGGCACUGGAUAUUCCUUUACCAGUGCCACACAUUCAGGGAUACACAUCCUUGACAAAGAGAGUCCGGAGAACCUGAUGCUACACACCGCCGUUCCAACCAUUGAUGAUAUUAUGUCUUUGUACCAACGUGUUACCAUGUAUAUUCAAAAGGAAAUAGGCACUGAAUUUAAUCGCAAGAAGUUGACACUUGCACCAUCCGGUGUCACUGGGUGCCACACCUUCAAGGAGACAGAGUCUGUUCUAAAUUAUGCUGAAUCGUUUUUUAGCCUUUUCAGCCUACCUGAGUACUCUUCUUAUUCUUUAGCCUAAUCUGGUUUUAUUGUUGCUAUUUCUAAGCAUUAUUUGUAUUAUGAGCAGAUGGCAAGAUGAUAAACCGGUGCAUAGGGAUUGUCGUUGGGAUAGAUGCAUUUAAGAACUCAACAUGGCAAGAUGAUAAACCGGAGAGGUGAUGCCAUCGAUAACUAUGGAAGCAGAAAGCUUGACAACACCGGCGUGAUCUCGAAUGACAACACCCCAUCCCAUCCGAUUACCAUUAGGAAAUAAAGCUGCAUCCACAUUGACACAAACCCAAACAGGAGGAGGUAGAAUCCGACGUGGAGUAGGAUAGGAAUCACACCUGAUCGCUGUUUUGGUUUUGUAGCAAUGUAAGGCAAUAUUUUUAGCAUACACCUUGAUCUUUCCAGCAAGCCAGAGACGCGUGUAAAAGCCCUUUGUCAUUUCUAGCAUCAUUAUGAGUUUCCCAAAUAUGCCAGCACGUCACUGCCUCUGAAUAUCACUAGCUGUUCAAGAAUUCGAACAUCCAUUGCCUCAUAUUUCUGAAAGACUUUCUACAGAGCUUGACAGAGACAUAUUCUUUCACUGAGUCCCAUACUGAUCAAUCGGAGGCACAGGAAAAAAAUAAGUGUUCCACGCUCUCUGAUCUGCCACAAAACACACAUGUGUCUUUGGUUGGAAUAUGAAGACACUACAGCCGGACCCCGUAGGCAGACAAUCAUGAGUCAUUCUCCAUAAGACAAUUUUCAUUUUACCAGGACAUUGAAUUGACCCUCUUUUGAUUGUGCAACCUCAUCUGAGUUACUCCCUUUCCCAGCCCGUACCCCAGGAUGUGUAGAAGGAUUAAGAUCUUGCGUAGCGCGGACAGUAUGAAGGCCCAACUGAGCAUGUGGCCAAGAAGCGAAGUCUUCCCCGCCAUGGCGGCUGAUCGGUAUCUGUUGGAUAAUCUGCAUUGUCUUCAACGAACAAAGUUCGGACAGUAUCCAUGCCCCAUGCAUUUCCUUGUGAGUUCAUCAAAAAGCUUACUGGAGCAUUCCCUGGUAAAACUUCCAGAGUGGAGAAAGUAACUGGAGGCAGGCCUGGAUCCAGUUGUCGCUCAUGAUCUUGAUCUUCUUACCGUCACCCACUCCCCAACUCAGGAUUGACCACUGCGUAAAGGAUGAAGACCUUAGUUUUCCAGCUGAUAGGAAAUCAGAAUUAGGGAAGUGCCAUCUUUUCAGUACCCGUGCAUAGAGCGAGGUUGGUUCAGUAAGCAUUCUGCAACACUGUUUUACGAGAAUAGCCUGGUUGAACAGGACGAAGUCUUUAAAGCCCAACCCACCGAGAAAUUUUGGCGCCAACAUCGAAUCCCAUGAACGCCAGUGCAUAUUCUUUCUCCCCUCCUCAAAACCCCACCAUUUGUUAGCAAUAAUGGUUUUCAUUUUCUGACAAAUUCCAACCGACACUUGAAAGCAGUAUAGAUUACAUAUGAGCAAAAUUCCCUGCCACCACAACAACAAUGAACUUAUUUCAGUGAGUUGUGGGAUAUGAUCUGAUUGAAAAUCAACACCUUUUGAUGUCUAUAUGCCAAUCAAGUUGUAUUUUCUUAUGACAUGAUGAUGGUUUCUAGUGUGGUGUGCUAAUUGUUAGCUGGGAAAUGCUAUUGUCUUAAGAAGUACUGCUUUAACCUAAUCAAAGUCCGAGUCAAUCUUCCUAUGUUUUAUGAAUUGUGUAAAAAAGACCAUUGAAAAAAAAGAACGGCUUGACCAUUAAUUUCAAACUAAAAAGGAAAAUAUUUCUGACUAUCUCUUUUGUGUAUUAUUGGCAAAUGUUUGACCUGGUCUAUUUAACUCUUGGAGUCUUUUGAACAUUCGUUACUUACUGUCAAUAUUCCGUAGCUGAUGUUGUGGUUGAUGCAAUCGUGACUUUAUAAUAACCAUCCAAAUAGCACAAGACUGCAGGGUCAAAGAGUGGUGAAGAUAACCCCUUAACGUUUCAUAACUGAACUACUACUACUACUGUUGUUUGUCAUGACUGAUUCAUACACUGACAACACUAAAUUUGUAGGCCUUCCAGCUGGUCUAUGUGCCUCGGCCGAUGAUCUUGCAGAGGGUCAGCUUAAGAUCAAUUCUAUUGUCACCACAGUACGAGAACAACACCAACUUAACAGCUGCAUCAACAUGAACAUUCCGUCCGGUGUGCCCAGCGCGUUACUUAUAGAGCAGAAAUGCAUCCAACCUUAAGACGGAUUAUGAUGUGCCAUAUCCUUAUGCACCUACCCUUUUUCUUUACUCACCAACAACGGACAUAUUGAUUUUUUUGUUUGUUCUCACAAAACUGUACAUGCAUCCAUCCAAUUUAGGCUUAGUAUAUUCAUAUUACAAAUUCAAAAUCCUACACAGGAUAGUAUUCAUGUGAGUGUAAUAUCAAACUGUAUGCUUGUUUAAUUGAACCAUAUUGUUGUUGUA
This is a long non-coding RNA of Lolium perenne, 3086 nucleotides long. RefSeq lists it as uncharacterized. The record is from RefSeq and is a predicted model, not a curated record. Lineage: Eukaryota; Viridiplantae; Streptophyta; Magnoliopsida; Poales; Poaceae.